UACGUAGGUGUCGAGCGUUGUCCGGAUUUAUUGGGCGUAAAGAGCACGUAGGCGGCUGUGUAAGUCGGUUGUGAAAGCCUUCCGCUUAACGGAAGAACGGCAUCCGAUACUGCAUAGCUCGAGUGCGGGAGGGGAGAGUGGAACUUCUGGUGGAGCGGUGAAAUGCGUAGAUAUCAGAAGGAACACCGGCGGCGAAGGCGACUCUCUGGCCCGUAACUGACGCUGAGUGUGCGAAAGCUAGGGGAGCAAA
RNAcentral lists this ribosomal RNA (250 nucleotides) under uncultured bacterium. RNAcentral describes it as "partial 16S ribosomal RNA". It matches the Rfam family "Bacterial small subunit ribosomal RNA", at positions 524 to 772 of the family's 1533-position model. The record is from RNAcentral.